GACGAACGCUGGCGGCGUGCCUAAUACAUGCAAGUCGAACGCAGUGGGGACGGGUGAGUAACACGUGGGUAACCUCCCAUCAGAGGGGAUAACACUUGGAAACAGGUGCUAAACCGAUAUUGACGGAUGGACCCGCGGUGCAUUAGCUAGUUGGUGAGGUAACGGCUAACCAAGGCCACGAUGCAUAGCCGGCCUGAGAGGGUGAUCGGCCACACUGGGACGGAGACACGGCCCGGACUCCUACGGGAGGCAGCAGAAGGGAAUCUUCGGUAAUGGACGAAAGUCUGACCGAGCAACGCCGCGUGAGUGAAGAAGGUUUUCGGAGCGUAAAGCUCUGUUGUUGGAGAAGCGGUAUCUAACCAGAAAGCCACGGCUAACUACGUGCCAGCAGCCGCGGUAAUAC
RNAcentral lists this ribosomal RNA (403 nucleotides) under uncultured bacterium. RNAcentral's name for it is "partial 16S ribosomal RNA". It matches the Rfam family "Bacterial small subunit ribosomal RNA", at positions 28 to 526 of the family's 1533-position model. The record is from RNAcentral.